UAGUAGUGGUGAGGUAUGGCUACCAAGGCGAUGAUAGUAGCGGCUUAACGGGUGGUCGCCCACACUGGGAUGAGAUACGGCCCAGACUCCUACGAGAGGCAGCAGUCGAGAAUAGUCUACAAUGGUCGAAAGACUGAUAGUGCGACGCCGCGUGAGCGAAGACUCCUUUCGGGGUGUAAAGUUCUUUUAUAUGUGAGCAGUGGAUGUUACAUUAAUAGUGUGAUAUCAGGGAUAUUAGCAUAUGAAUAAGCAACGGCUAACUCCGUGCCAGCAGCCGCGGUAACACGGGGGUUGCGAGCGUUGUCCGGAAUUACUAGGCGUAAAGGGCAGGUAGGCGGAGAUGUAAGUUUGAUGUUAAACGUACUGGCUCACCCAGUGUACGGCAUCAGAUACUGCAUUUCUUGAAUACGGUUGGGGAAGACAGAAUUCCUGGUGUAGCGGUGGAAUGCGCAGAGAUCAGGAGGAAUACCGAAGGCGAAGGCAG
This 484-nucleotide ribosomal RNA is filed under the name uncultured prokaryote. RNAcentral describes it as "bacterial SSU rRNA". It matches the Rfam family "Bacterial small subunit ribosomal RNA", at positions 246 to 724 of the family's 1533-position model. The record is from RNAcentral.